RNAcentral lists this ribosomal RNA (441 nucleotides) under Triticum aestivum (bread wheat). RNAcentral describes it as "partial small subunit ribosomal RNA". Lineage: Eukaryota; Viridiplantae; Streptophyta; Magnoliopsida; Poales; Poaceae. The record is from RNAcentral.
AUGCACACACUCACUCACACACAGCAAGCGCACAUUGCAAAGCACAAUCGCAGCUCGAUCGCACGCACUAGCUUGCACGCUCCGUCGCAAAUGGCCAUGGCACCCAGAGCGCUGCUCCUCCUGGCCGUCGGGCUCGUGAUCGCAGCCUCGGCGAGCGCCCACGGCGGCUACGAGGGGUCGUGCCCCAAGGACGGGCUGAAGCUGAAGGCGUGCGUGGACGUGCUGGGCCUGCUCAAGCUCAAGGUGAACGUGCCGCGCCAUGAGCCUUGCUGCUCGCUCCUGGACGGGCUCGUCGGCUUGGACGCGGCGCUCUGCCUCUGCGCAAACAUCGACGCCAAUGUGCUCGGCCUCAACCUCCACCUCCCCGUCGACCUCCGCCUCAUCCUCAACAACUGCGGCAAGGUCUGCCCCACCGAUUUCCGGUGCCCACCACGCCACUAA